CAUGCAAGUCGAGGGGUAUUAGUUUUCGGACUAAGAGACCGGCGCACGGGUGCGUCACGCGUAUGCAAUCUACCUUUUACAGGGGAAUAGCCCAGAGAAAUUUGGAUUAAUGCCCCAUAGUAUAUAUCAUUCGCAUGUUUGAUAUAUUAAAGUUCCAACGGUAAAAGAUGAGCAUGCGUCCCAUUAGUUAGUUGGUAAGGUAACGGCUUACCAAGACGAUGAUGGGUAGGGGUCCUGAGAGGGAGAUCCCCCACACUGGUACUGAGACACGGACCAGACUCCUACGGGAGGCAGCAGUGAGGAAUAUUGGACAAUGGGCGCAAGCCUGAUCCAGCCAUGCCGCGUGCAGGAAGACGGUCCUAUGGAUUGUAAACUGCUUUUGUACGGGAAGAAACACUCCUACGUGUAGGAGCUUGACGGUACCGUAAGAAUAAGGAUCGGCUAACUCCGUGCCAGCAGCCGCGGUAAUACGGAGGAUCCAAGCGUUAUCCGGAAUCAUUGGGUUUAAAGGGUCCGUAGGCGGUUUAGUAAGUCAGUGGUGAAAGCCCAUCGCUCAACGAUGGAACGGCCAUUGAUACUGCUAGACUUGAAUUAUUAGGAAGUAACUAGAAUAUGUAGUGUAGCGGUGAAAUGCUUAGAUAUUACAUGGAAUACCAAUUGCGAAGGCAGGUUACUACUAAUGGAUUGACGCUGAUGGACGAAAGCGUGGGGGAGCGAACAGGAUUAGAUACCCUGGUAGUCCACGCCGUAAACGAUGGAUACUAGCUGUUGGGGGCAACUUCAGUGGCUAAGCGAAAGUGAUAAGUAUCCCACCUGGGGGAGUACGUUUCGCAAGAAAUGAAACUCAAAGGAAUUGACGGGGGCCCGCACAAGCGGUGGAGCAUGUGGUUUAAUUCGAUUGAUUCCGAGGGACCUACCAAGGCUUAAAUGUAAAAUGACAGGACUGGAAACAGUUUUUUCUUCGGACAAUUUACAAGGUGCU
Molecule: ribosomal RNA, 982 nt
Filed under: uncultured Bacteroidota bacterium
Lineage: Bacteria; Pseudomonadati; Bacteroidota
Description: bacterial SSU rRNA
Rfam family: Bacterial small subunit ribosomal RNA
Source: RNAcentral